Molecule: ribosomal RNA, 447 nt
Filed under: uncultured bacterium
Lineage: Bacteria
Description: bacterial SSU rRNA
Rfam family: Bacterial small subunit ribosomal RNA
Source: RNAcentral
UCCAGACUCCUACGGGAGGCAGCAGUGGGGAAUAUUGCACAAUGGGGGAAACCCUGAUGCAGCGACGCCGCGUGAGCGAAGAAGUACCUCGGUAUGUAAAGCUCUAUCAGCAGGGAAGAAAGUGACAGUACCUGACUAAGAAGCCCCGGCUAGCUACGUGCCAGCAGCCGCGGUAAUACGUAGGGGGCAAGCGUUAUCCGGAUUCACUGGGCGUAAAGGGAGCGCAGGCGGCACGGCAAGUCCGGAGUGAAAGCCCGGGGCUCAACCCUGGGACUGCUCUGGAAACUGUAAAGCUGGAGUGCGGGAGGGGCAGGCGGAAUUCCUGGUGUAGCGGUGAAAUGCGUAGAUAUCAGGAGGAACACCGGCGGCGAAGGCGGCCUGCUGGACCGUAACUGACGUUGAGGCUCGAAAGCGUGGGGAGCAAACAGGAUUAGAUACCCUUGUAUC